This 468-nucleotide ribosomal RNA is filed under the name uncultured bacterium. Its description in RNAcentral is "partial 16S ribosomal RNA". It matches the Rfam family "Bacterial small subunit ribosomal RNA", at positions 28 to 507 of the family's 1533-position model. The record is from RNAcentral.
GACGAACGCUGGCGGCGUGCUUAACACAUGCCAGUCGAACGGUGAUGCUCCAGCUUGCUGGAGUGGAUCAGUGGCGAACGGGUGAGUAACACGUGAGCAACCUGCCCCAGACUCUGGAAUAAGCGCUGGAAACGGCGUCUAAUACUGGAUACGAAACUGGCCCGCAUGGGCAUGGUUUGGAAAGUUUUUCGGUUUGGGAUGGGCUCGCGGCCUAUCAGCUUGUUGGUUAGGUAAUGGCUCACCAAGGCGACGCCGGGUAGCCGGCCUGAGAGGGCGACCGGCCACACUGGGACUGAGACACGGCCCAGACUCCUACGGGAGGCAGCAGUGGGGAAUAUUGCACAAUGGGCGAAAGCCUGAUGCAGCGACGCCGCGUGAGGGAUGACGGCCUUCGGGUUGUAAACCUCUUUCAGCAGGGAAGAAGCGAAAGUGACGGUACCUGCAGAAGAAGCACCGGCUAACUACGUG